This is a long non-coding RNA of Hibiscus syriacus, 657 nucleotides long. RefSeq lists it as uncharacterized. The record is from RefSeq and is a predicted model, not a curated record. Lineage: Eukaryota; Viridiplantae; Streptophyta; Magnoliopsida; Malvales; Malvaceae. The transcript is spliced from 4 exons.
AGCACGGAGGCAGCAUAAAUGCAUUCACAGCUUCUGAGAUGACCAACUAUUACUUUGAUGUCAUCACUGAUUGCUUUGAAGAAGCUCUGGACCGGUUUGCACAGUUCUUCAUCAAACCAUUAAUGUCAGCUGAUGCUACCACGAGGUAAAUUAAAGCUGUUGAUUCUGAGAACCAGAAAAACUUAUUGUCUGAUGUGUGGAGAAUGAGCCAGGUUCUCAUACUAAUUUAGUGUUUGGCUGGACUUUUCACAUGGAAGCAAGUCACUUACUAACGACUAAUGUGAUUAGUUCCUCAAAGUGGUGAACUGAGCUUAUGUUGGGAAGUGUUGUCUCAUCCUUUGAUGUUGAUAGACGAGGAUGAUUGAAUUACGACGUCAUUAAGGACUGUUAAUCAAUUGCUUCUUCAGGUCCUGUUGAGGGCUUAUGGUGUGCAUGGUUAUUGUGGUUCCAUUGCUAUUUUCCUUAAUAAGCGAAAGAUAUCUGUGAUUAUUAAACACACUGGGUUGCUGUUUGUAUUUUAGCGGUUUUCGUGAAUCGCCAUGCAAUUUAGUCAUCUCAAUUGGUUGAUUUAUACCAUUAAAAUAGGUUAAUAAUUGUUAGAGUAAGCACACUUUUAGAAGCUUCCCAUCUUUGUGUUUCUUGAAAAUAAAUAAGAAU